Molecule: ribosomal RNA, 405 nt
Filed under: uncultured bacterium
Lineage: Bacteria
Description: partial 16S ribosomal RNA
Rfam family: Bacterial small subunit ribosomal RNA
Source: RNAcentral
AUUGAACGCUAGCGGCAGGCUUUACACAUGCAAGUCGAACGAGUGGCGGACGGGUGAGUAAUGUAUCGGAACGUGCCCAGUAGCGGGGGAUAACUACUCGAAACAGUGGCUAAUACCGCAUACUAUUGGAGCGGCCGAUAUCGGAUUAGCUAGUUGGUGGGGUAAAGGCUCACCAAGGCAACGAUCCCUAGCUGGUUUGCGAGGAUGACCAGCCACACUGGGACUGAGACACGGCCCAGACUCCUACGGGAGGCAGCAGUGGGGAAUAUUGGACAAGGGGGGAAAGCCUGAGGCAGCCAUGCCGCGUGUAUGAGAAGGCCUUAGGGUUGUAAAGUACUUUCGGCAGGGAAGCGGUAUCUGCAGAAUAAGCACCGGCUAACUCCGUGCCAGCAGCCGCGGUAAUAC